AAUACAAGGUCGGUGGUCAAUCAUGAGCCCGACUUUAACCCUUCAACUUUUUAUUUGAACAUGUUUGGUCCUUUUCUCCACAUAUCUCUACGACACUAUGCAUCCGUCUCUUUCUUUCUUUUACUGCUUGCCUAACAAACACUCUCCUCUGUCUCUCAUCUCUCUUUCUCUACAACGCUAAUCAGUGGCUCUUUAUCCGUUACCGGAAAGCCCUUUAUUCGACGAAAUAGGUGUUUACUGGUGGUUUUUUUUCACAAAUAUGAUACUAUGAAAUUUAAAACCUUAAUUACCUUUUCGUCGCCUGUUGAGUUCGUCGCACGGGAACAACAGCAGGAAUUCCUUUGGCUUCUACCAUCGUUGUGAACAGUAAAAGAGUGUAACUGGUGCUGGGUUGCGAUUGACAAGGGGGUUACAGAGAGAGCAACCCAGGCAUGUGAUGCAGCCAUCUCUAAGCUAGACACGCUUGGCGAGGAUUCUUGCAAAGAUGGUUCGUUGCAUCUUACCAUGCUUGCUUACGAAAGCUUCUCACUAUGCCCUGUAGUAUGAUGACUAUUUGUGAUAAUUUGAUUAUAUGUGCAGUAGUAACAUGGAGCAUUGCUCCCAUUGCUUGAGUCAUCAAUGUUUUGCUUAAUGCCCAACCACCAUCAAGAGUGAACAGAGUAUAAGUAUACUUUUGGUUAUCAGAUGUAACAGGAGUUUACUUUUGGUAUUACAGUUAUAUGAGUUUGUAGUC
Molecule: long non-coding RNA, 733 nt
Organism: Helianthus annuus (common sunflower)
Lineage: Eukaryota; Viridiplantae; Streptophyta; Magnoliopsida; Asterales; Asteraceae
Exons: 2
Source: RefSeq, a predicted model, not a curated record